This 301-nucleotide small RNA is filed under the name Arabidopsis thaliana (thale cress). Its description in RNAcentral is "ATSL282800". The record is from RNAcentral. Lineage: Eukaryota; Viridiplantae; Streptophyta; Magnoliopsida; Brassicales; Brassicaceae.
ACGAAACUGAACAAUGAUUAGAAGAUGAGACCGUCGACGAGAUUGAGGACUAUGGUCCUGUUCGUUUGUCUGUCGUUGGUGACUGAAACCAGCGACAGCAACCAAAAGUUGUUCGUUUGCCUGUCGUUGGUUCAGCGACCAAAAGUAGCGACAGUCGCCAGCGACCGGCGACUGCAAUUUUUGGUCGCUGAAAUUUUUAGCGAUCAAUUGCUGGUUUCAGCAAUUAGUCGCUGCUUUUGGUCGCUGGAUUCAGCGACAUGCAAACGAACAACUUAGCGAUCAAAAAAUAUAAAUUAAAAAA